UGUCCCUAAUCUACACUGAUCCAACCCACCUGGCUACCUGGGUCACGAAGCCGAGUAGAUCGAGGAGGGUGACCCCAUUCAAACACACAGUCAACCUG
Sander lucioperca (pikeperch) is the source of this 98-nucleotide long non-coding RNA. RefSeq lists it as uncharacterized. Lineage: Eukaryota; Metazoa; Chordata; Actinopteri; Perciformes; Percidae. The transcript has 3 exons. The record is from RefSeq and is a predicted model, not a curated record.